Molecule: ribosomal RNA, 492 nt
Filed under: uncultured bacterium
Lineage: Bacteria
Description: partial 16S ribosomal RNA
Rfam family: Bacterial small subunit ribosomal RNA
Source: RNAcentral
GAUGAACGCUAGCUACAGGCUUAACACAUGCAAGUCGAGGGGAAACGGCAUCGAAAGCUUGCUUUUGAUGGGCGUCGACCGGCGCACGGGUGAGUAACGCGUAUCCAACCUGCUCAUCACUUGGGAAUAACCUUGCGAAAGUAAGACUAAUGCCCAAUGACAUCCCACGAAGGCAUCCGAAUGGGAUUAAAGAUUUAUCGGUGAUGGCUGGGGAUGGAUCUGAUUAGCUUGUUGGCGGGGUGACGGCACACCAAGGCAACGAACAGUAGCGGUUCUGAGAGGAAGGCACCCCACAUUGGAACUGAGACACGGACCAAUCUGGUACGGGAGGGAGCAGUGUGGAAUAUUGGGGAAUGGGCGAGAGCCUGAACCAGCCAAGUAGCGUGCAGGAGCACGGCCCUAUGGAUGGUAAACUGCUUUUAUAAGAGAAUAAAGUGGGUCACGUGUGACUUUUUGCAUGUACCUUAUGAAUAAGGACCGGCUAAUUCCGUG